Molecule: ribosomal RNA, 285 nt
Filed under: Triticum aestivum (bread wheat)
Lineage: Eukaryota; Viridiplantae; Streptophyta; Magnoliopsida; Poales; Poaceae
Description: partial small subunit ribosomal RNA
Source: RNAcentral
UAUGUGUUUCUUCCCGAUGGGGAGAGAUUUUACACUUUUGGUUUAGCAGCGAUAUCCUGGGCUAUGUGGAAUUGCCAUAACCGGGUAACCUUUUAGUUCAAAAAAAUGAGAUCCCCUUUUGACGUGGUUUACUCUGCAUGUGGAUAUAUAAAUUACUGGGCAGGUCGAAUGGUGGGAGCUGAUCGUGAGGCGAUGGAGCGUGGAGCCAAGAUGCUGAGGACUAACGCCUCGAACAUGAUGCGGAUCUGCGUGGCGCCAGGGAACGCGAUGAAGAGUUCAAAAUAG